AUUUAUAAAGAUGAGCCACUCUUGUUUCAUGAAUCCAAAAUCCUCGAAAUUAUAAAAUUCUCCGAAUUGGACAUGUUUACACCAUUCUCAAACUAAAAAGUUACUACCUCCAUCUCAAAUUAGAUGUCCCCGUUGAUUUUGGGCACGUAAUUUUAGGUGCAUUGACCGUCUACUUCCGAAAUUUAUUUUUUUAUUUUUUCUUUUAUAAAUGAAAAUUUCAUAUUUUAAUUUUUAUUUGAUACUACCUCCAUCCCAAAUUAGAUGUCCCCGUUGAUUUUGGGCACGUAACUUUAGGUGCAUUGACCGUCUACUUCCGAAAUUUAUUUUUUUAUUUUUUCUUUU
This 342-nucleotide long non-coding RNA is filed under the name Daucus carota (carrot). RNAcentral's name for it is "long non-coding RNA (DCAR_LNC002680)". The record is from RNAcentral. Lineage: Eukaryota; Viridiplantae; Streptophyta; Magnoliopsida; Apiales; Apiaceae.